UACGGAGGGAGCUAGCGUUGUUCGGAAUUACUGGGCGUAAAGGGCUCGUAGGCGGCCAACUAAGUCGGAUGUGAAAUCCCCAGGCUUAACCUGGGAACUGCAUCCGAUACUGGAUGGCUUGAAUUCGGGAGAGGGAUGCAGAAUUCCAGGUGUAGCGGUGAAAUGCGUAGAUAUCUGGAGGAAUACCGGUGGCGAAGGCGGCAUCCUGGACCGACAUUGACGCUGAGGAGCGAAAGCUAGGGGAGCAAACGGG
RNAcentral lists this ribosomal RNA (253 nucleotides) under uncultured bacterium. Its description in RNAcentral is "partial 16S ribosomal RNA". It matches the Rfam family "Bacterial small subunit ribosomal RNA", at positions 524 to 776 of the family's 1533-position model. The record is from RNAcentral.